Non-coding RNA from Trichonephila clavipes, 73 nucleotides. The record is from the annotation of a GenBank genome assembly. Lineage: Eukaryota; Metazoa; Arthropoda; Arachnida; Araneae; Nephilidae.
AGGGGUGUAGAUCAGAUGGUAGAGCCCUCGCUUGGCAUGUGAGAGGCACCGGGAUCGAUACCCCGCGCCUCCA